RNAcentral lists this long non-coding RNA (760 nucleotides) under Apteryx haastii (Great spotted kiwi). RNAcentral describes it as "lncRNA (ENSAHAG00000017785.1)". Lineage: Eukaryota; Metazoa; Chordata; Aves; Apterygiformes; Apterygidae. The record is from RNAcentral.
GCGGGGGUCCUGGCUGGCCCCCGUCCGGGGCUCGUCCCCGCGGAUGCCCGCUGUGCUCCGGUGAUGCCGGCACGCUGCUGGACGAGCCCGCGGCCGGCCGCGCCGGGGGUCCGGGCGCCGCUCUCACGGGUUUCCCUCCCGCUCUGCAGAUGCCCAGAAAGCCCAGGCGAGGCACAAGCAAGCGAAGGAGCGGCGCGAGGAGCGAGCCAAGUACCUGGCUGCCAAGCGGGUGCUGUGGCUGGAGAAGGAGGAGAAGGCCAAGGUGCUGCGGGAGAAGCAGCUGGAGGACCGCCGCAAGCGCCUGGAGGAGCAGCGGCUGAAGGCGGAGAAGCGCCGCGCCGUCCUCGAGGAGCGGCAGAGGCAGAAGCUGGAGAAGAACAAGGAGCGCUACGAGGCAGCGAUCCAGAGGUCGGCCAAGAAGACGUGGGCAGAGAUCCGGCAGCAGCGGUGGUCGUGGGCAGGGGCCCUGCACCACGGCUCCCCCGCGCACAAGGACGGUGCGAGCCGGUGCUCGGUGUCGGCCGUAAACCUCCCCAAACACGUGGACUCUAUAAUCAACAAGCGGCUCUCCAAAUCCUCCGCCACCCUCUGGAACUCUCCCAGUAGAAGUAAGAGACCUUUGCGUGUGCCCGCAGCGCGGGGGGCUGGCGGCCCCGGCCCCCGCCAGCGCUAGGGACCCCCAGAGCCAGGGAGCCCCCCAAGCCCCCCCGGCCCUGCCUUGCAGCACGGUGCCCGCGGAGAGAGGAGAAGCCGUUCGCCC